UUUCAUGUGAUUGACUUGCGGCUCCACCGCAAGAUUUCCUUUCUUGUCCCACCCUAUCCAUCCAAACCGACAGCAUUCAAUGAGAGUGCAUACACCAUUUCCAUCCGUUCCAUAUCAAUGCACGUUCAUGCAAACGGUGACACAAAUAGCGAAACAAAUGAAAAUGUCCAAAAAGAUUUGACAAACAGAGGUCACUACUAAUUUUGAUCAGAACAUACAUACAAAGGUCGGAGAAAUAUGAAAUGUCAAACUUCGUAUUUUUGACGAAGUUUGAGCUCCAUCUUAACACUCGUUUUAUAAUAAAUACCUCAGCCAAAGGCAAUGAAGAUUCUCUUUUCUGUCGUAACCUCCGAGGAAAUCGUAGUGCGCGUCGUGUAUUAAUUGUUAAAAAUUGUCACAAAAUUGUGUGUUUUAAAAGCUUUGUACCUUAUUCUAAGUGGAAAUUGUGUCCUUAAUACUAAUAGUACGGUAAAAAUAGUACGGCAAAACAAACUACAAAACUAUAGUACGCCUAUUAUACAUUUAUGCCGUCUAAAAACUAAGAAAACACUACUGUGAAAGUUAUGUGCAAGAAAAAGGUCCACGAGUGGGCCUUUUUCUUUUAAUUACAAGCUACAUCCACGACAGGCUCUUGGUGACAAUCCAAGAGGCCUAAUCCUCACGCACGUUGAUUUCAAGGUUAUGUUACCUAGCUCGAGGACCUCAUUCCGAGCGAAACUGCCAUCCGGCAUCUCCCACAAACGCCGGCAGAAGCACAGAGACAGAAUACCUAUUGUCUGAAGACGUGUAUUGUUCAGACCGCUUUCCAAGCCAUACCCGCCAUCUUGAAUCGGCCAUUCCGCCGAUGUAGCAAGCUGUCCAACAUGCCGACGCUUCCCAUCGCCGACAGCUCACGGCCAUCAUCAAUCUCAACCGAAAGCGGCCCGUCGCCGCUUGUUCCCCAUCAUCAAGCUCACCAAGAUGUCGACGUGGCCCGUCUCCGCCAGUCUCGCAGCCUUAAGCAGUGGCCACUUGCUGAUCAACGGAAUCACCGAGGAUCCGGAUCCCGAGCAUGACGAUGCUCCAACCACGCAAGUACCCCUAUCAAGUGUGACAGUGCUAGCAUAGUGUAGGACCAGAAAAGUACAUUAAAAUUAGCCAUAAGUUAAAUUGAAA
Armigeres subalbatus is the source of this 1155-nucleotide long non-coding RNA. RefSeq lists it as uncharacterized. Lineage: Eukaryota; Metazoa; Arthropoda; Insecta; Diptera; Culicidae. The transcript is spliced from 3 exons. The record is from RefSeq and is a predicted model, not a curated record.